Molecule: ribosomal RNA, 478 nt
Filed under: uncultured bacterium
Lineage: Bacteria
Description: partial 16S ribosomal RNA
Rfam family: Bacterial small subunit ribosomal RNA
Source: RNAcentral
AUGAACGCUAGCGGGAGGCCUAACACAUGCAAGCCGAGCGGUAGAGUUUCUUCGGAAACUUGAGAGCGGCGCACGGGUGCGUAACACGUGUGCAACCUACCUUUAUCUGGGGGAUAGCCUUUCGAAAGGAGGAUUAAUACCCCAUAAUAUAAUGAUUGGCAUCAAUUAUUAUUGAAAACUCCGGUGGAUAGAGAUGGGCACGCGCAAGAUUAGAUAGUUGGUGAGGUAACGGCUCACCAAGUCAAUGAUCUUUAGGGGUCCUGAGAGGGAGAUCCCCCACACUGGUACUGAGACACGGACCAGACUCCUACGGGAGGCAGCAGUGAGGAAUAUUGGACAAUGGGUGAGAGCCUGAUCCAGCCAUCCCGCGUGAAGGAUGACGGUCCUAUGGAUUGUAAACUUCUUUUGUACAGGGAUAAACCUACCCUCGUGAGGGUAGCUGAAGGUACUGUACGAAUAAGCACCGGCUAACUCCGUG